RNAcentral lists this unclassified non-coding RNA (354 nucleotides) under Hevea brasiliensis (rubber tree). Lineage: Eukaryota; Viridiplantae; Streptophyta; Magnoliopsida; Malpighiales; Euphorbiaceae. The record is from RNAcentral.
UAUCCUCUAACCUAAUGUGCUCUAUUUGUUUAAUUGAAACUUCUGUAUGUUUACGCUUCACAUGACCAAUAAUCAAACACAGAAUAUCAUAACUAAUAGACUAUUUUUCUUCAGCCGUAAAAUCAGGUUCUGCAGGCUUUUGAAGCAGCAUGGCUGGAUCCCUCUCCAACAACCUUGCCUUCCGAGUACCAGUACGCCGUAGAGCACGAAGUGCAUUUGCAGCAAAUCGUGAGGCAUAUAUGGCGGUGACACCUAAACUUGGUGAGUUCCCACUUGUAUUAGCUAAUGCAUCUUGGAACCUUUUCUCCUCCUGUUGGAGAGACUCUUCAAGCUUCUUUUUACCAUACCUGCCCC